GACGAACGCUGGCGGCGUGCUUAACACAUGCAAGUCGAACGGAAAGGCCCUGCUUUUGUGGGGUGCUCGAGUGGCGAACGGGUGAGUAACACGUGAGUAACCUGCCCUUGACUUUGGGAUAACUUCAGGAAACUGGGGCUAAUACCGGAUAGGAGCUCCUGCUGCAUGGUGGGGGGUGGAAAGUUUCGGCGGUUGGGGAUGGACUCGCGGCUUAUCAGCUUGUUGGUGGGGUAGUGGCUUACCAAGGCUUUGACGGGUAGCCGGCCUGAGAGGGUGACCGGCCACCUUGGGACUGCGAUACGGCCCAGACUCCUACGGGAGGCAGCAGUGGGGAAUAUUGCACAAUGGGCGGAAGCCUGAUGCAGCAACGCCGCGUGCGGGAUGACGGCCUUCGGGUUGUAAACCGCUUUCGCCUGUGACGAAGCGUGAGUGACGGUAAUGGGUAAAGAAGCACCGGCUAACUACGUG
Molecule: ribosomal RNA, 468 nt
Filed under: uncultured bacterium
Lineage: Bacteria
Description: partial 16S ribosomal RNA
Rfam family: Bacterial small subunit ribosomal RNA
Source: RNAcentral